RNAcentral lists this microRNA precursor (188 nucleotides) under Corchorus capsularis. Its description in RNAcentral is "pre miRNA MIR811". The record is from RNAcentral. Lineage: Eukaryota; Viridiplantae; Streptophyta; Magnoliopsida; Malvales; Malvaceae.
AUUAAUUCAGAAAAUGAACAUGUGUCAACUCCUCAGUCCUCACCUCUCUUGUGGAGUCCAAAAUUUACACUGUUAGUGUAUCAAAUAAUCAUUCAAUAAUUAUAUGGGUAUUUGAUACACUGGCGGUGUAAAUUUUGGACACCACAAGUGGGUUGUGGAGUUGACACAUGUCCAUUUUCUGAAUUAAU